GACAGAGGUGCCGAGCGUUAGGCGGAAUCACUGGGCUUAAAGCGUGUGUAGGCGGGCCGUUAAGUGCCUUGUGAAAUCCCACAGCUCACCUGUGGAACUGCUUGGCAUACUGGCGAUCUUGAGCCACUUAGGGGCAACCGGAACAAACGGUGGAGCGGUGAAAUGCGUAGAUAUCGUUUGGAACGCCAAUGGUGAAAACAGGUUGCUGGGAGUGCGCUGACGCUGAGACACGAAAGCCAGGGGAGCAAACGGG
This 253-nucleotide ribosomal RNA is filed under the name uncultured bacterium. RNAcentral's name for it is "partial 16S ribosomal RNA". It matches the Rfam family "Bacterial small subunit ribosomal RNA", at positions 524 to 776 of the family's 1533-position model. The record is from RNAcentral.